GUUUGUAUCUUUCACUAAGCAGUAGUAAACUAUGAAUGGGGGUGGUGCCUCUCAUCUUGGUUUCAGGUCAGGGAAAAUGAAACUUAAAUCCUCACCAUCACAACAUCAUCAACUGAGGCAGCAGAGACAGACAGGACAAAGUAACAGACACCCUCUUCAUUGAGUUGAAUUGAGUUCAGGAUAAACAACAGAGGAAAAGUACCUCAAAAUUAUGACUUCAGCUCCUGAUAAACCAGAUUGUGGGCCGAUGGUGGUUACUUUUGGAUUCUUGACGUUUGUCAUUGGAAUCGCUGUUGGAGUGAAAAU
Oncorhynchus kisutch (coho salmon) is the source of this 306-nucleotide long non-coding RNA. RefSeq lists it as uncharacterized. The record is from RefSeq and is a predicted model, not a curated record. The transcript is spliced from 3 exons. Lineage: Eukaryota; Metazoa; Chordata; Actinopteri; Salmoniformes; Salmonidae.